AGUGAACGCUGGCGGUAGGCCUAACACAUGCAAGUCGAACGGCAGCACAGUAAGAGCUCGCUCUUACGGGUGGCGAGUGGCGGACGGGUGAGAAAUACAUCGCAAUCUACUUUUACGUGGGGGAUAACGGAGGGAAACUUACGCUAAUACCGCAUACGACCUACGGGUGGAAGCAGGGGAUCUUCGGACCUUGCGCGACUGAAUGAGCCGAUGUCGGAUUAGCUAGUUGGCGGGGUAAAGGCCCACCAAGGCGACGAUCCGUAGCUGGUCUGAGAGGAUGAUCAGCCACACUGGAACUGAGACACGGUCCAGACUCCUACGGGAGGCAGCAGUGGGGAAUAUUGGACAAUGGGCGAAAGCCUGAUCCAGCCAUGCCGCGUGAGUGAAGAAGGCCUUCGGAUUGUAAAGCCCUUUUAUUGGGAAAGAAAAGCAGCAGGUUAAUACCCCGCUGUUUUGACGGUACCCAAAGAAUAAGCACCGGCUAACUUCGUG
RNAcentral lists this ribosomal RNA (492 nucleotides) under uncultured bacterium. Its description in RNAcentral is "partial 16S ribosomal RNA". It matches the Rfam family "Bacterial small subunit ribosomal RNA", at positions 29 to 507 of the family's 1533-position model. The record is from RNAcentral.